Molecule: ribosomal RNA, 925 nt
Filed under: Escherichia coli
Lineage: Bacteria; Pseudomonadati; Pseudomonadota; Gammaproteobacteria; Enterobacterales; Enterobacteriaceae
Description: partial 23S ribosomal RNA
Rfam family: Bacterial large subunit ribosomal RNA
Source: RNAcentral
CCGAGAUUCCCCCAGUAGCGGCGAGCGAACGGGGAGCAGCCCAGAGCCUGAAUCAGUGUGUGUGUUAGUGGAAGCGUCUGGAAAGGCGCGCGAUACAGGGUGACAGCCCCGUACACAAAAAUGCACAUGCUGUGAGCUCGAUGAGUAGGGCGGGACACGUGGUAUCCUGUCUGAAUAUGGGGGGACCAUCCUCCAAGGCUAAAUACUCCUGACUGACCGAUAGUGAACCAGUACCGUGAGGGAAAGGCGAAAAGAACCCCGGCGAGGGGAGUGAAAAAGAACCUGAAACCGUGUACGUACAAGCAGUGGGAGCACGCUUAGGCGUGUGACUGCGUACCUUUUGUAUAAUGGGUCAGCGACUUAUAUUCUGUAGCAAGGUUAACCGAAUAGGGGAGCCGAAGGGAAACCGAGUCUUAACUGGGCGUUAAGUUGCAGGGUAUAGACCCGAAACCCGGUGAUCUAGCCAUGGGCAGGUUGAAGGUUGGGUAACACUAACUGGAGGACCGAACCGACUAAUGUUGAAAAAUUAGCGGAUGACUUGUGGCUGGGGGUGAAAGGCCAAUCAAACCGGGAGAUAGCUGGUUCUCCCCGAAAGCUAUUUAGGUAGCGCCUCGUGAAUUCAUCUCCGGGGGUAGAGCACUGUUUCGGCAAGGGGGUCAUCCCGACUUACCAACCCGAUGCAAACUGCGAAUACCGGAGAAUGUUAUCACGGGAGACACACGGCGGGUGCUAACGUCCGUCGUGAAGAGGGAAACAACCCAGACCGCCAGCUAAGGUCCCAAAGUCAUGGUUAAGUGGGAAACGAUGUGGGAAGGCCCAGACAGCCAGGAUGUUGGCUUAGAAGCAGCCAUCAUUUAAAGAAAGCGUAAUAGCUCACUGGUCGAGUCGGCCUGCGCGGAAGAUGUAACGGGGCUAAACCAUGCAC